RNAcentral lists this ribosomal RNA (492 nucleotides) under uncultured bacterium. RNAcentral's name for it is "partial 16S ribosomal RNA". It matches the Rfam family "Bacterial small subunit ribosomal RNA", at positions 29 to 507 of the family's 1533-position model. The record is from RNAcentral.
AGUGAACGCUGGCGGUAGGCCUAACACAUGCAAGUCGAACGGCAGCACAGUAAGAGUUUGCUCUUACGGGUGGCGAGUGGCGGACGGGUGAGGAAUACAUCGGAAUCUACUUUUUCGUGGGGGAUAACGUAGGGAAACUUACGCUAAUACCGCAUACGACCUACGGGUGAAAGCAGGGGAUCUUCGGACCUUGCGCGAUUGAAUGAGCCGAUGUCGGAUUAGCUAGUUGGCGGGGUAAAGGCCCACCAAGGCGACGAUCCGUAGCUGGUCUGAGAGGAUGAUCAGCCACACUGGAACUGAGACACGGUCCAUACUCCUACGGGAGGCAGCAGUGGGGAAUAUUGGACAACGGGCGCAAGCCUGAUCCAGCCAUACCGCGUGGGUGAAGAAGGCCUUCGGGUUGUAAAGCCCUUUUGUUGGGAAAGAAAAGCAGCAGGUUAAUACCCCGCUGUUCUGACGGUACCCAAAGAAUAAGCACCGGCUAACUUCGUG